This 495-nucleotide ribosomal RNA is filed under the name uncultured bacterium. RNAcentral describes it as "partial 16S ribosomal RNA". It matches the Rfam family "Bacterial small subunit ribosomal RNA", at positions 28 to 507 of the family's 1533-position model. The record is from RNAcentral.
GAUGAACGCUGGCGGCGUGCCUAAUACAUGCAAGUAGAACGCUAAAGGCGGAGCUUGCUCUUAUGGAUGAGUUGCGAACGGGUGAGUCACGCGUAGGAAACCUGCCUGACAGCGGGGGAAAACUAUUGAACACGAUAUCUAAUACCGCAUGACAACAGUUAUUGCAUGAUAACUGUAUAAAAGUGGCAACUGCUCCAAUACCACAUGGACCUGCGUUGUAUUAGCUAGUUGGGGAGGUAACGGCUCACACAGGCGGCUAUACAUAGCCGACCUGGGAGGGGGGUCGGCCGCCCUGGGACUGAGACACGGCCCAGGGUCCUGCGAGAGGCAGCAGAAGGGAAUCUGCGGCAAUGGUCGGAAGUCUUACCGAGCAACGCCGCGUGAGUGAAGGAGGUGUUCGGUGCGUGAUGCUCUGUUGUAAGAUAUGAACGAGUGUGAGAGUGGAAAGUGCACACUGUGACGGUAUCUUACCAGGAAGGGACGGCUAACUACGUG